This 848-nucleotide long non-coding RNA is filed under the name Marmota monax (woodchuck). The record is from RNAcentral. Lineage: Eukaryota; Metazoa; Chordata; Mammalia; Rodentia; Sciuridae.
GUUUGCAAAGCACAUCUGUAUUCAUGAUUUGCUUGCUACUUAGAGCAAACUUACAGGAAGGCUUUAUGAUUUCUAAUUACAAAAGAAAAAAUUAAAUCAUCAAGAUAAUAAUUAGAAUAAAUAAUGUGUCAUGAUGAUGGUUUCAAAAACAGGUGGCUCUUCAGACUCCUGGCUUAAGCUCUUCUCCAAAAAAGGACAAGAAAAAGAAAAGAGGGAACAGUAUUUUGUUUUGUUAUGGUUUAUGCAUGAUUAUUUUCCUCUCAUUGAGCAUUUCUCUUGAUUCUGCCUUUCAAUGUUAUUCAAAAAUCGUUACUCUUAAUUUAUAUGGUUUUAACAAAUUCAAGAAGUUGUGAACAAGGCUCGCUUUGGAAAAACAUUUUCUACUUUUGAUGGCUAUGCUGUUUUUGUAUCAAUUUUGUAUGUAGGACAUGAUGUUUAAGGUAAAACCAAUAAUUAGCUAAGCAAUCUUUAACUAGCAUCAACUGAAUCCUGACCUUCUCAGUCUUCAAAAGAAUCACAGAAAAGUUUCAACGCUGUAUAACGUAUAUGUACUCAAGAAUAAAUGAGAGCAUUUCACUUUAAGCAAUGUCUUAGUCCAUUUGUGCUAAUUAACAAAUUACCUGAAAACUGGACAAUUUAUAGAGAACAGAACUAUACUUUUUACAGUUCUGGAGGCUGGGAAGUUCAAGAUCAAGGUGCUAACAGGUUUGGUAUCUAGUGAGAGUUGUUCUUUAUAUCCAAGAUGGUGCCUUAUUGCUGUGCCCUUACAUGAUGGAAGGGGCAAGUGCUAUGUUUUUACAUGGCAAAGAAGACUAGCAAUUCAUAAGGGAGGAGCUUUCAUGAUCUUA